UGUUGCCAAGUCAAUUUUCUUCUAUCAAUCUCUAAUUGAAGUAUGAAAUACAAUAUUUGUCUGCAGUGUAUGCUAGAAAAGCAACAUUUUCAUCCGUUUGCACACUAACUUAACUUAAGAAAAACAAAUGUGAAAAUAUAAGUAAUAACUUGAAAGAAUUACAUGAAUCAAAGUUUUCCCUCCUUUGAUUGUAUUAAAGGAGAGAAGUACCAGCAUGGUUAUGGUGUAGAAGAUUAUGAGCAAUAGCAUCCCUUGCAAGCCUAGCAUUGGUCGAUCUCAAUUGAAUCUCUGGAAGCAUUUCAUCAUCAAUGAGCUCGAAAUUGAGUUCUGGAUCCAUCUCCUCAUUCCUCAUCUGGCAAAUAUUAUGCAAGACGCAGCACGCCCCUAGCACCACUGGCAAAUCUUGUAGUUUCACCUCUGUUCUUUUCUGCAAACAAGACCAUCUCCUUUUCAACCUUACAAACGCCUCCUUUGCCACCCGUUGAACCUCACCAAUCUUCUCAUUGAAAGCAUGUUGAGUCCAAGUUAGCUGCUGCUGUGUAUAAGGCACUAAAACCCAAUCCAUUAAAGGGUAUCCAGAACUACCAACAAUCCAAACGUUGUUCAGUAACCCUGUAUUCGCCCUCUGGAAAAGGGCGGAUUUCUCCAGUACCUGAUCAUCAGGCAUCGAACCAGGCCAACCGAUACACACAUCAGUAAACACCCCUCUUGGAUCAACAACCCCUUGAACUGUAAUCGAAUACGAAGUCUUCUGAUUCCUCUCUGUAUGCCUCUUAUUGAAAUAAGCUGCAACGCUAAUUUUCGGAGCAAUUAUAGGUAUAUGAGUUGUAUACAUUGAUCCCACAACAUUUGUGAUCCCUGACAUAUCCUCAUACUCAUCCUUUAUAUCCCUCAUUUUCUUCUCAUCAGGCCAUUGAAGAUACUUAGGCAUCAACACAGUUCGAAUCGCAGUACAAACCUCUAGCACAAGCUUAUGGCAAGUCGAAAUCCCCAAUCCAAAUCUCUUGGAUACCAAUCUCAGAGGCUCUCCAGUAGCCAAUCUCCAUAUACAAACAGCAACACGCUGCUUCACAGGUACAGCAUCUCUUAGCAUAGUAUUCUCUUUCGCAACCACAGAAGUCAAUUCAUUACAUAUCAAUUCAAAUGUAUCUUUCCCCAUCCGAAACGCUUUCUUAAACUCCUCUUCAGGGAAAUCAGGACUGUUACAUUGAUCCCACCAAGCUUUUGACCUAUUCUUCACCCACAAUCGCCUAUGAGGCGCACCUUUAUCGGUAGAUUUAUUACUGGAAACCCCUUCUUCCUCUGCAGCUGCAGAAGCAAGGGCACAAGCAGUAGCAGUAAGAGCAGCAGAAUUCCCUCUCCCUUUCCUCUUUCGAACACCAUCUAACUGUUCUAAAUCAGAAUGAUGCUGUUGAACAUUGGAAUAAUAAUCCCACAUCACUUUCGUUGUUUUCUUAUGAUUGGCUUCGAGUAAGUGUUUAUCCUCUUCCUCUUCCUUUGCAAAUUCCGAUUUUUCUUGCUCUUCAAGUAACAACAAAGAGGUUAAUAUCUG
RNAcentral lists this unclassified non-coding RNA (1552 nucleotides) under Hevea brasiliensis (rubber tree). The record is from RNAcentral. Lineage: Eukaryota; Viridiplantae; Streptophyta; Magnoliopsida; Malpighiales; Euphorbiaceae.